This 253-nucleotide ribosomal RNA is filed under the name uncultured bacterium. Its description in RNAcentral is "partial 16S ribosomal RNA". It matches the Rfam family "Bacterial small subunit ribosomal RNA", at positions 524 to 776 of the family's 1533-position model. The record is from RNAcentral.
UACGUAGGGUGCAAGCGUUAAUCGGAAUUACUGGGCGUAAAGCGUGCGCAGGCGGCUAUGCAAGACAGAUGUGAAAUCCCCGGGCUCAACCUGGGAACUGCAUUUGUGACUGUAGAGCUGGAGUGCGGCAGAGGGGGAUGGAAUUCCGCGUGUAGCAGUGAAAUGCGUAGAUAUGCGGAGGAACACCGAUGGCGAAGGCAAUCCCCUGGGCCUGCACUGACGCUCAUGCACGAAAGCGUGGGGAGCAAACAGG